CUGACAGCCACAAAGACUAAAGCCUUUUUUAUUAUUAUUAUUAUUCACAGAAUGUGUACAGCAUGGACAGCAACAGGGAAAUGCCUCUAUCUCCAUACAGCCCUGCCAAUGUCUCAGAGCUGAUCCGGAGUGACCACGUCUACUGGGGAGAAGAUAAUUCAGUGUCCAUGCCUAUUCAAAUACUUCAACUCU
RNAcentral lists this small RNA (192 nucleotides) under Chelonoidis abingdonii (Abingdon island giant tortoise). RNAcentral's name for it is "TUC338 (ENSCABG00000005758.1)". Lineage: Eukaryota; Metazoa; Chordata; Testudines; Testudinidae. The record is from RNAcentral.